Molecule: long non-coding RNA, 462 nt
Organism: Pollicipes pollicipes
Lineage: Eukaryota; Metazoa; Arthropoda; Thecostraca; Pollicipedomorpha; Pollicipedidae
Exons: 3
Source: RefSeq, a predicted model, not a curated record
UUUUGUACAGUGGGGGUCGGGGGUGUGCCAAGAUGGCGCGCCGUUUGCAUUCAUCAGUGCCGAGUGAAAUCGACACGCACAGUUCGGGCGAUACGGGUACUUGUUUAAGCGCGGAACGGCCGCCAGUCUGCGUGCAAUCAAACUCAACCGCGUCUACCUCUCUAGUCGUAGUUGGUGCCAAGCAAGUCUUUCCAGUGCCUUACUCGCACGACCCCGCGGCGCCAGGGGUCGGGUCGACGUCAGCGUGGCGACAGCUUUAGCGUGAGUGUGUUCAACCGUGUGGAGAUUCAACUUAAUGUGCAAGCUUUGCCAGCCAGAUAGAAGCGGCAUCCUGGCGCCGGGCAGUUGCGGCACGAGCGACGUCACGUCGCUGGGUCCGAGCUCGCCGCUCUCACCGCGCUCGGCCGGCUCGGAGGCCAGCGACGCCGGCUUCGCCGACGACUCGGCCAUGCCGCCCAGCCA